This is a long non-coding RNA of Lycium ferocissimum, 1204 nucleotides long. RefSeq lists it as uncharacterized. The transcript is spliced from 3 exons. Lineage: Eukaryota; Viridiplantae; Streptophyta; Magnoliopsida; Solanales; Solanaceae. The record is from RefSeq and is a predicted model, not a curated record.
UUUCCAAAUUAAGAUAGAGGUCAUUUAUUUUGGCACGGACUAAAAAGAAAAUAGGUUCACAUAAAUUGAAAUAGAGGGAGUAGUUAGUAAGCUGGUUCUUGAUUUCUUAGCAUAACUAUCUCCUGGAUGAAGAAAAGUCGGUAAUUUUCUGAAGAUUAGAAAGCUUUUGUUAAACAAUUUGAUGAAGUGAAGCUCAAGCUUCUGGUUAGUGAUUUCAGCAUCCUAGCUAUGUACAAUAAUGCCUAUACUAAUCCAGCUCUUUUAAAGUUGCGAUUCAAAAGCUUUUUUUUAUAUUUGAGAUUCAAUAAUGCCGAUACUAUUCCAGCUGUUUCAAAAUCUUUUCACGAGGAUCUAAGCAUUGUAGAUACAAUUAAGACUAUGGGAGAACAGGGUUUGAAUUUGGAAAAAACUAGGUGAUUUCUUUCGAUCCGUCAAAACCUUGAUGGGAAAAUGCAAGUACUUGGCAAAAAAAUCAAAGUGCAAGUUGGAUAUCAGAAAGAAACUUAAAGCGAUGAAGCAAUACGAACUGAGGGGUUAUAAUUUCAUGGGUCAAGCUAUGCAUAUUAGAAAAGUGUGUGCUUCAAACAAUGGCAUGCAACGCAUGCAAGGUCUUGUCAGCCAAAAAGUAGUUUUUCACUUAGCAGAGUAUCUGUGUAUAAAUUUUUCUCUGAUUUUAUGCCUCUUUUUUUAGUAGCUAGGCUCUUGUGUGUUAUAUUAACGAGUUGAUACUCGAAGAUAGUAAUAUAUAAAGGUAGCCUAAAUCUCAAAUUAGUUAUAUCAUCAUUGGAGUGCAGGUGACUCAAAAGAAAGCUUCUACAUUGGUCCUCUGGAAGACAUACUAAUGUUAACAACUCGAUUCAGUAGCCUUCAGAAGGCGAGGAAGAGUGUUACAAAAUGCAAUUUCAUCUAUUAGUUGGUGAUAAUAACAUUAUUGGCUGAAAAUUUGAUUGGAAGAUCGAGUUCUCAAGACUUCGUCUACAUGUCAAGGUUAUGGACGCACCAUCUUGACCUAGUUGCAGGAGGAUCUAGACUUCUUCAAGAAAUCUCACGUCCAUCAAGUUCAUCUGACCUUAUUUCGUAAAUUUUCUGCAAUGUUUUUUCCAAAAUGAAAUGGAAUGACAUAUUCAAAUGACCUUAGAACAAGUUAUAUUGUAUUGUAGUUGAAAAACUUGAGAAUCAUUCACCUAUUCAUUUAUUAUUUUUU